GAUGAACGCUGGCGGCGUGCCUAAUACAUGCAAGUCGAGCGAACAGAUAAGGAGCUUGCUCCUUUGACGUUAGCGGCGGACGGGUGAGUAACACGUGGGUAACCUACCUAUAAGACUGGAAUAACUCCGGGAAACCGGGGCCAAUGCCGGAUAACAUUUAGAACCGCAUGGUUCUAAAGUGAAAGAUGGUUUUGCUAUCACUUAUAGAUGGACCCGCGCCGUAUUAGCUAGUUGGUAAGGUAACGGCUUACCAAGGCAACGAUACGUAGCCGACCUGAGAGGGUGAUCGGCCACACUGGAACUGAGACACGGUCCAGACUCCUACGGGAGGCAGCAGUAGGGAAUCUUCCGCAAUGGGCGAAAGCCUGACGGAGCAACGCCGCGUGAGUGAUGAAGGUCUUCGGAUCGUAAAACUCUGUUAUUAGGGAAGAACAAAUGUGUAAGUAACUGUGCACGUCUUGACGGUACCUAAUCAGAAAGCCACGGCUAACUACGUG
This 497-nucleotide ribosomal RNA is filed under the name uncultured bacterium. Its description in RNAcentral is "partial 16S ribosomal RNA". It matches the Rfam family "Bacterial small subunit ribosomal RNA", at positions 28 to 507 of the family's 1533-position model. The record is from RNAcentral.